This 78-nucleotide small RNA is filed under the name Flavobacterium sp. 11. RNAcentral describes it as "Flavo-1 RNA". It matches the Rfam family "Flavo-1 RNA". Lineage: Bacteria; Pseudomonadati; Bacteroidota; Flavobacteriia; Flavobacteriales; Flavobacteriaceae. The record is from RNAcentral.
CCUUAGCCCUGAUGGAAGCGGCAUCCUUUCCUUGUUUUCUUUAGACAAGGAAAGAUACAGCGUACAGCGGGAAGUAGC